RNAcentral lists this ribosomal RNA (340 nucleotides) under uncultured bacterium. Its description in RNAcentral is "bacterial SSU rRNA". It matches the Rfam family "Bacterial small subunit ribosomal RNA", at positions 155 to 491 of the family's 1533-position model. The record is from RNAcentral.
AACGGUAGUUAAUACCGCAUAGCGUCGCAAGACCAAAGAGGGGGACCUUCGGGCCUCUUACCAUCGGAUGUGCCCAGAUGGGAUUAGCUAGUAGGUGGGGUAACGGCUCACCUAGGCGACGAUCCCUAGCUGGUCUGAGAGGAUGACCAGCCACACUGGAACUGAGACACGGUCCAGACUCCUACGGGAGGCAGCAGUGGGGAAUAUUGCACAAUGGGCGCAAGCCUGAUGCAGCCAUGCCGCGUGUAUGAAGAAGGCCUUCGGGUUGUAAAGUACUUUCAGCGGGGAGAAAGGCGAUAAGGUUAAUAUCCUUGUCGAUAGGAGUACCCGCAGAAGAAGC